RNAcentral lists this ribosomal RNA (253 nucleotides) under uncultured bacterium. RNAcentral's name for it is "partial 16S ribosomal RNA". It matches the Rfam family "Bacterial small subunit ribosomal RNA", at positions 524 to 776 of the family's 1533-position model. The record is from RNAcentral.
UACGUAGGGUGCGAGCGUUAAUCGGAAUUACUGGGCGUAAAGCGUGCGCAGGCGGUUUUUUAAGCCAGAUGUGAAAUCCCCGGGCUUAACCUGGGAAUGGCAUUUGGGACUGCAAGGCUUGAGUGUGGCAGAGGAGACUGGAAUUCCUGGUGUAGCAGUGAAAUGCGUAGAUAUCAGGAGGAACACCGAUGGCGAAGGCAGGUCUCUGGGCUAACACUGACGCUCAUGCACGAAAGCGUGGGGAGCAAACAGG